UAAGGUCACGGCGAGACGAGCCGUUUCUCAUUACGAUAGGUGUCAAGUGGAAGUGCAGUGAUGCAUGCAGCCGAGGCAUCCUAACAGACCGAGAGAUUUGAAC
This 103-nucleotide ribosomal RNA is filed under the name Aphyllorchis montana. RNAcentral's name for it is "4.5S ribosomal RNA". The record is from RNAcentral. Lineage: Eukaryota; Viridiplantae; Streptophyta; Magnoliopsida; Asparagales; Orchidaceae.